RNAcentral lists this transfer RNA (73 nucleotides) under Diphylleia rotans. RNAcentral describes it as "tRNA-Val". It matches the Rfam family "tRNA". Rfam says of the family: Transfer RNA (tRNA) molecules are approximately 80 nucleotides in length. Their secondary structure includes four short double-helical elements and three loops (D, anti-codon, and T loops). Lineage: Eukaryota; Collodictyonidae. The record is from RNAcentral.
GGGCAAUUAGCUCAAUUGGUAGAGCAACUCGUUUACACCGAGAAGGUUAGCAGUUCAAGUCUGUUAUUGCCUA